ACGCUUUGGCAACAAUAAGGUUUAAACGAUGACUGGAGUAAUGAACAUGCAACGCCUUCGGGUUUUUCUCUAAUAUUCUCCCAGAAAUACCUUUUACCUGGCUGGACACAGCACUAGCACCGUCAUAUCCCUGGCCUCGACAAUUUUGAAGGGAAGCCCGACAUCUUGAAGUGUACUUUGACUAAUGAACGGAAUCAAAUCCAAAGGCGAAACAGUUCGGUAUACAAAUGAAAAUGUUCUUGAAUCAUGUAAAACUUCAAAUUUAUUCAAGAAUGUAUUAAAUUAUCCAGAAAGUAUAAGCUUGGAGUUAUCAUUAAAAAGUGCCUUGCACCAGAUAUUUUCAAUAAUUAGCUAUCGAGACCAUCCUCAGUU
RNAcentral lists this long non-coding RNA (372 nucleotides) under Dendronephthya gigantea. RNAcentral's name for it is "uncharacterized LOC114539725". The record is from RNAcentral. Lineage: Eukaryota; Metazoa; Cnidaria; Anthozoa; Malacalcyonacea; Nephtheidae.